GACGAACGCUGGCGGCGUGCUUAACACAUGCAAGUCGAACGGAAAGGCCCUGCUUUUGUGGGGUGCUCGAGUGGCGAACGGGUGAGUAACACGUGAGUAACCUGCCCUUGACUUUGGGAUAACUUCAGGAAACUGGGGCUAAUACCGGAUAGGAGCUCCUGCUGCAUGGUGGGGGUUGGAAAGUUUCGGCGGUUGGGGAUGGACUCGCGGCUUAUCAGCUUGUUGGUGGGGUAGUGGCUUACCAAGGCUUUGACGGGUAGCCGGCCUGAGAGGGUGACCGGCCACAUUGGGACUGAGAUACGGCCCAGACUCCUACGGGAGGCAACAGUGGGGAAUAUUGCACAAUGGGCGGAAGCCUGAUGCAGCAACGCCGCGUGCGGGAUGACGGCCUUCGGGUUGUAAACCGCUUUCGCCUGUGACGAAGCGUGAGUGACGGUAAUGGGUAAAGAAACACCGGCGAACUACGU
Molecule: ribosomal RNA, 467 nt
Filed under: uncultured bacterium
Lineage: Bacteria
Description: partial 16S ribosomal RNA
Rfam family: Bacterial small subunit ribosomal RNA
Source: RNAcentral